GACGAACGCUGGCGGCGUGCUUAACACAUGCAAGUCGAACGGACAGGCCCUGCUCUUGUGGGGUGCUCGAGUGCCGAACGCGUGAGUGAAACGCGAGUAAAAUGCCCUUGUCUUUGGGAUAAAUUCAGGAAACUGGGGAGAAUACCGGAUAGGAGCUCUUGAUGCAUGGUGGGGGUUGGAAAGUUUCGGCGGUUGGGGAUGGUCUCGCGGGUUAUCAGCUUGUUGGUGGGGUAGUGGCUUACCACGUCUUUGAAGGGUAGCCGGCCUGGGAGGGUGACCGGCGACAUUGGGACUGAGGUAGGGCGCAGACUGCUACGGUACGCAGUGGUGGAGAAUAUUACAGAAUAGGCGCAAGCCAGAUGCAGCAACGCCCCGUGCGUAAUAACGUCCUUCGAGUUAUAAACCACUUUCGCCUUUGACGAAGCGUGAGUGACGGUAAUUGGUAAAGAAGCACCGGCUAACUACGUG
This 468-nucleotide ribosomal RNA is filed under the name uncultured bacterium. Its description in RNAcentral is "partial 16S ribosomal RNA". It matches the Rfam family "Bacterial small subunit ribosomal RNA", at positions 28 to 507 of the family's 1533-position model. The record is from RNAcentral.